RNAcentral lists this ribosomal RNA (253 nucleotides) under uncultured bacterium. RNAcentral's name for it is "partial 16S ribosomal RNA". It matches the Rfam family "Bacterial small subunit ribosomal RNA", at positions 524 to 776 of the family's 1533-position model. The record is from RNAcentral.
UACGAAGGUGGCAAGCGUUGUUCGGAUUUACUGGGCGUACAGGGAGCGUAGGCGGUUGGAUAAGCCCUCCGUGAAAUCUCCAGGCUUAACCUGGAAAGUGCAGAGGGGACUGUUCAGCUAGAGGAUGGGAGAGGAGCGCGGAAUUCCCGGUGUAGCGGUGAAAUGCGUAGAGAUCGGGAGGAAGGCCGGUGGCGAAGGCGGCUGCCUGGGGUAUUGCUGACGCUGAGGAACGAAGGCCAGGGGAGCGAACGGG